Molecule: ribosomal RNA, 403 nt
Filed under: bacterium
Lineage: Bacteria
Description: partial 16S ribosomal RNA
Rfam family: Bacterial small subunit ribosomal RNA
Source: RNAcentral
UGGGGAAUAUUGCACAAUGGGGGAAACCCUGAUGCAGCGACGCCGCGUGAACGAAGAAGGUAUUCGUAUCGUAAAGUUCUGUCCUAUGGGAAGUUAAUGACAGUACCAUAGAAGAAAGCUCCGGCUAAAUACGUGCCAGCAGCCGCAGUAAUACGUAUGGAGCGAGCGUUGUCCGGACUUAUUGGGCGUAAAGGGUACGCAGGCGGUUUAAUAAGUCGAAUGUUAAAGAUCGGGGCUCAACCCCGCAAAGCAUUGGAAACUGAUAAACUUGAGUAGUGGAGAGGAAAGUGGAAUUCCUAGUGUAGUGGUGAAAUACGUAGAUAUUAGGAGGAAUACCAGUAGCGAAGGCGACUUUCUGGACACAAACUGACGCUGAGGUACGAAAGCGUGGGGAGCAAACAGG